Molecule: transfer RNA, 50 nt
Filed under: Tripneustes ventricosus
Lineage: Eukaryota; Metazoa; Echinodermata; Echinoidea; Temnopleuroida; Toxopneustidae
Description: partial tRNA-Gln
Rfam family: tRNA
About the family: Transfer RNA (tRNA) molecules are approximately 80 nucleotides in length.
Source: RNAcentral
AACGAAGAACUUUGACUUCUUUAUUGUGGGUUCGAUUCCCAUUUCUUUAG